GUGUAGAGGUGGCAGGGUAGCCUAGUGGUUAGAGUGUAGAGGUGGCAGGGUAGCCUAGUGGUUAGAGUGGAGAGGUGGCAGGGUAGCCUAGUGGUUAGAGUGUAGAGGUGGCAGGGUAGCCUAGUGGUUAGAGUGUAGAGGUGGCAGGGUAGCCUAGUGGUUAGAGUGGAGAGGUGGCAGGGUAGCCUAGUGGUUAGAGUGUAGAGGUGGCAGGGUAGCCUAGUGGUUAGAGUGUAGAGGUGGCAGGGUAGCCUAGUGGUUAGAGUGGAGAGGUGGCAGGGUAGCCUAGUGGUUAGAGUGUAGAGGUGGCAGGGUAGCCUAGUGGUUAGAGUGGAGAGGUGGCAGGGUAGCCUAGUGGUUAGAGUGUAGAGGUGGCAGGGUAGCCUAGUGGUUAGAGUGUAGAGGUGGUAGGGUAGCCUAGUGGUUAGAGUGGAGAGGUG
This is a long non-coding RNA of Oncorhynchus keta (chum salmon), 440 nucleotides long. RefSeq lists it as uncharacterized. NCBI's taxonomy places the organism in Eukaryota, Metazoa, Chordata, Actinopteri, Salmoniformes, Salmonidae. The transcript has 4 exons. The record is from RefSeq and is a predicted model, not a curated record.